RNAcentral lists this long non-coding RNA (588 nucleotides) under Lathyrus oleraceus (garden pea). RNAcentral describes it as "Pisum sativum (pea) long non-coding RNA (PSAT_LNC027043)". Lineage: Eukaryota; Viridiplantae; Streptophyta; Magnoliopsida; Fabales; Fabaceae. The record is from RNAcentral.
GAACUCUUAUAAUUGAUCCUUAGGUAACUCAGCAUUCCAUAAUGGUCUCUUACUAAUACUGAACCGCUGACGAGCUAUCCAAAACCCGAUCUCCCUUCUAAGGCUGAACCUACUUGGUUUAUCUUCUAGCUUCCAUUUGGUCCAUACAUGUUUCACUUGGAAUAGGCGGCCAUGUCCUCGAGUCUCUCCUUAGACUUCACCACUACCUUAGGCUCCCAACAAAACUGAACGUCCUUAUCCCUCAAGUCCUUAACCACUUGCAAGAUACCAUUCCAAAUAUAUACUCCAUGAGUUGCUCUCGUUCUUCCAAAAUAUUUUAGUGGCCUUAGAAACUGAAACAUUGAUACACUACCUCACUUCCAAACCUUAUGACAUAUGUGCAACAUAACCAUCUUUUCCCCUUCACCAUAUGGAAUCACUCAUAAUACUUAUUCCAUAUCAGUGAGUGUAUCUUAUUCCACUAGAAAUUCACCCAUUCCUCAAAAUUCUGACAAUUUAUCCAAUAGAGAUUCCUCAAUUUCUCAACUCCGUUAACACUGCAGAAUCGCUUGAACGACACACUACUCUUCAAUUCCAUAAUACCCAAAU